Diospyros lotus (date-plum) is the source of this 1067-nucleotide RNA transcript. RefSeq lists it as uncharacterized. The transcript is spliced from 3 exons. The record is from RefSeq and is a predicted model, not a curated record. Lineage: Eukaryota; Viridiplantae; Streptophyta; Magnoliopsida; Ericales; Ebenaceae.
ACUAGCGGCUGCCAAGCGCAACUAAUCCUAAGAACAUUUCUUAUCCGGUGUAAGCACCGAAUGAAAUUCGAUUGUUCUGUGUCACCGGAUAUGGCGGCGACCACGACGGCGUCUGCGGCGGCGACGGCAAUGGAAAUUCCGAGAAUGCACUUCUCCGCUUUAGGUCACCGGCGUCUAAAUCCGACGAAGAUGAAGUGGAGAAGUCUGGCGGUAAGUGGCGUUAGCCUUCCAACGGCAGGGUUUACGCGGCCUGUUCUGGUUCGAGCUUCGGAUCCAGAAAGCGAACAAGAAAGUCGGACGAGGAACGAGUCUGACCGUGCCUUCACAUCUCUGGAGGAUCUGGAUUACUUGUGGAAACUAGGAGCAGGUUCUAUUGCAGGUGCGGCCGCCAUAAAGUAUGGAAGCAUCCUUUUCCCCGAGAUAACAAGGCCGAACAUUUUGGAGGCAAUGAUCAUAAUUACCACUCCAGUUCUUGUAGUUAUAUUGCUUUUGAUUAGGCAAAGUCGCAUUGAACAAUAGCGCAGGCAGCUCUAUAAACCAUUUUACUCUCUUCUGCGCUGUGUUUCGAUGAUUGGCAUGGCGCUGCAGGACAAUGCCCUGCUGCUAUGACAAUUGUCAGACAAACAGUUGUCAAUUUUCUUCCAGCACCUAUAUAUUAUCCGAAUUCUCAAAGAGAAAUGACUGAACACUUCAGUCGAGGAGUAGAGUCUGGAGGUGCUGAGGUUAAGAUCCAAACCCACAAGAGUAAAGAUUCAACAAGGCUAAAGAAGACUACCGCAAGGAGAUUUGGGAGGUCUCCCGAAGAUUUUUUCGCAGAGUAGUCCCUCAAGGUGAGGAAAAAAGGUACUGGAGACUUGGAAGUCUCUUAGACACCCUCCCGCAAGAUGUUUCCAGACUAAUUAGAUAAUUUCAGUGGCCAAAAAUCCCACCGAGGAUCUUGUAGAGGUAUAUGGUUUAUAUGUUAAAAGUUAUAAUUUUAGUCCAUCUCAAAAUAUUAAGAAUACUCAUCGUUAACCCCUAACUCCAUUAUAAAUAGAAGAAGAGUCACAUUUCCUCAAAAAUAAAUU